This 40-nucleotide ribosomal RNA is filed under the name Cathetus glaucophyllus. RNAcentral describes it as "Phyllanthus glaucophyllus partial 18S ribosomal RNA". Lineage: Eukaryota; Viridiplantae; Streptophyta; Magnoliopsida; Malpighiales; Phyllanthaceae. The record is from RNAcentral.
UUCCGUAGGUGAACCUGCGGAAGGAUCAUUGUAAAUACCU